RNAcentral lists this ribosomal RNA (823 nucleotides) under uncultured archaeon. Its description in RNAcentral is "bacterial SSU rRNA". It matches the Rfam family "Archaeal small subunit ribosomal RNA", at positions 40 to 864 of the family's 1478-position model. The record is from RNAcentral.
GGGACUAGGCCUUCCUAGUAGGCGCCCCACUAUGCGGCAGACGGCUCAACAACACGUAGGCAACAUGCCCAGGGGACGCGGAUAACCUCGGGAAACUGAGGACAAACCACGAUAAGUCACUACUUCGGGGAUGGGUAAUGACUCAAAUCUACAUGGCCCCUGGAUUGGACUGCGGCCGAUCAGGCUGUUGGUGAGGUAAUGGCCCACCAAACCUGUAACCGGUACGGGCUCUGAGAGGAGGAGCCCGGAGAUGGGCACUGAGACAAGGGCCCAGGCCCUAUGGGGCGCAGCAGGCGCGAAACCUCUGCAAUAGGCGAAAGCCUGACAGGGUUACUAUGAAUGAUUUCCGUUAAGGAGAUCUUUUGGCACCUCUAAAAAUGGUGCAGAAUAAGGGGUGGGCAAGUCUGGUGUCAGCCGCCGCGGUAAUACCAGCACCCCGAGUGGUCGGGACGUUUAUUGGGCCUAAAGCAUCCGUAGCCGGUUCUACAAGUCUUCCGUUAAAUCCACCUGCUUAACAGAUGGGCUGCGGAAGAUACUAUAGAGCUAGGAGGCGGGAGAGGCAAGCGGUACUCGAUGGGUAGGGGUAAAAUCCGUUGAUCCAUUGAAGACCACCAGUGGCGAAGGCGGCUUGCCAGAACGCGCUCGACGGUGAGGGAUGAAACCUGGGGGAGCAAACCGGAUUAGAUACCCGGGUAGUCCCAGCUGUAAACGAUGCAGACUCGGUGAUGAAUUGGCUUUAUGCCAAUUCAGUGCCGCAGGGAAGCCGUUAAGUUUCCCAAAGGCGCCGUACGGUCGCCAGUCUGAAACUUAGGCCCCAAUAAAA